Gambusia affinis (western mosquitofish) is the source of this 964-nucleotide long non-coding RNA. RefSeq lists it as uncharacterized. The record is from RefSeq and is a predicted model, not a curated record. The transcript is spliced from 3 exons. NCBI's taxonomy places the organism in Eukaryota, Metazoa, Chordata, Actinopteri, Cyprinodontiformes, Poeciliidae.
AACAAAUUGCUGUAUAAAAACGGCCAAAACUGAACAGUAUCAUACUGUUUCUAUUGAAAACGGUACUGCACCGUGAAAAACAAUGCAUUCUGGGCAAUUAUUACUGUUUUUAAUAAAAUACUGUAAUAUACUGUGAGUAGCAUUGCAUUUUGGGAAUGAUGUUAGAUUCAACGGCAAGGAGACUCUCUUUAAACAGAACGCUACUGUAUUUCACAAGAAGACACGUUGUUGUGACAUGUGGAAGCAACCUCUAGAAUUUUCUUUACAAGGACUAUCCAUUUGAAUCCUGCAUUUUAUGAGCCAAUCCGGUGGAAAAGACCAUGUGACUGCUGGGCACUGGAUGAUCAGUCUUGAGAGCCAUAUUGUAUGUGAGGGCAUUCAACCAACCUUUGUGACAGGGCUUGCUGCACUGUUUUCAAUGUACUACACCUACAAUAUCAAGAAGAGGCUGCAUGUACACUUGAAUUCAUCCAGAGGCCCUUUCUUGAUAUCAACCCUGAAAGAGGGACCAAGGCCAGCUGUGGCAAGAUCGUCUCCAAGAGGACAGGAAAUACUGUUCAAAAGAAGUUGGUCACUGUCAACCCCUGUGUUUCAACUCAGCUAAAAAACCUCAUGGACUUCGAGUGGAAUUUCAUAUAGGUUAGUGAGAACUUUCUAACCAGGCUAUAAGUAUUGUUGCCCCUCUGCGCAAAAACAAACAAACAAACAAACAAAAAACUAUACAGGCAUGAAGGCAACUUAUCCCUGAACAGGAGUGUUCUUGAGAGAUUUUUUUUGGUUUAAAGGUCAGCAUAAUCUUAGACAUCUCUUUUAAUUUAUAGCAUAAAUUUUGUUAAGGGUCCCACAUUCUGUUCUUCAGAUAUAAUUUGUAAUUUUGACUGUACAGGCACAAUGUUUAACUUAUCUUGGCAGUGUGUUGUCAAAUAUUGUUUCAUUGUUUUAUCAUUUGAAGUGGGAGCUCUGA